GGACUACCAGGGUAUCUAAUCCUGUUUGCUCCCCACGCUUUCGUGCCUCAGCGUCAGUAUCGAUCCAGGAAGCCGCCUUCGCCUCUGGUAUUCUUCCUAAUAUCUACGAAUUUCACCUCUACACUAGGAAUUCUACUUCCCUCUAUCGAACUCUAGCCAAACAGUAUUAAACGCAAUUCCAGGGUUAAGCCCUGGGCUUUCACGUCUAACUUGAAUGGCCGCCUACGCACCCUUUACGCCCAGUAAUUCCGAACAACGCUAGCCCCCUUCGUCUUACCGCGGCUGCUGGCAC
This 292-nucleotide ribosomal RNA is filed under the name uncultured bacterium. Its description in RNAcentral is "partial 16S ribosomal RNA". The record is from RNAcentral.